AGAGUUUGAUCAUGGCUCAGAAUCAACGCUGGCGGCGUGCCUAACACAUGCAAGUCGAACGAGAAAGUGGAGCAAUCCAUGAGUAAAGUGGCGACCGGGUGAGUAACACGUGACUAACCUACCCUAAAGUGGGGGAUAACUCCGGGAAACCGGGGCUAAUACCGCAUAACAUCGCGAGGGGAAGAUCCUUGUGAUCAAAGGAGCAAUUCGCUGAAGGAGGGGGUCGCGGCUGAUUAGUUAGUUGGUAGGGUAACGGCCUACCAAGACAAAGAUCAGUAUCCGGCCUGAGAGGGCGCACGGACACACUGGAACUGAAACACGGUCCAGACUCCUACGGGAGGCAGCAGUGGGGAAUUUUGCGCAAUGGGGGAAACCCUGACGCAGCAACGCCGCGUGGAGGAUGAAGUCCCUUGGGAUGUAAACUCCUUUCGAUCGGGACGAUUAUGACGGUACCGGAAGAAGAAGCACCGGCUAACUCUGUGCCAGCAGCCGCGGUAAUA
RNAcentral lists this ribosomal RNA (500 nucleotides) under uncultured bacterium. RNAcentral describes it as "bacterial SSU rRNA". It matches the Rfam family "Bacterial small subunit ribosomal RNA", at positions 8 to 525 of the family's 1533-position model. The record is from RNAcentral.